This 1156-nucleotide ribosomal RNA is filed under the name uncultured fungus. Its description in RNAcentral is "eukaryotic LSU rRNA". The stretch from base 522 to 1156 matches the Rfam family "Eukaryotic large subunit ribosomal RNA", at positions 1 to 649 of the family's 3401-position model. Lineage: Eukaryota; Fungi. The record is from RNAcentral.
AGUCGUAACAAGGUUUCCGUAGGUGAACCUGCGGAAGGAUCAUUAUCGAGAGUGGAGCCUAGCUCCUUGGGGGCCAACCGCCCCCAACUCUUCACCCAUUGUGAACGUUCGUUGUUGCUUUGGCGAGCCUCGGGGGACGCCUGAGGCCUUCGCCAGAGACCUUUUAUACUGUGUUUGAGUAGUCUGAGUGUAAUUGAUAAUUAAACAAAACUUUCAACAACGGAUCUCUUGGCUCUGGCAUCGAUGAAGAACGCAGCGAAAUGCGAUAAGUAAUGCGAAUUGCAGAAUUCAGUGAAUCAUCGAAUCUUUGAACGCACAUUGCGCCCCUUGGUAUUCCGAGGGGCAUAUCUGUUCGAGCGUCAUUUGCUCCCUCAAGCCUGGCUUGGUCUUGGGCGUGCGUCUUGCGGGACGGCCCUGAAAACCAGUGGCAGCGCGAUGCAGCUGCGAGCGUAGUAGUGAAUAACCCCCCGCUCCGCACGCUGCAUCAUGCCCGCCAGUCAACCUGCGAUUUUUUAACCAGUUGACCUCGGAUCAGAUAGGGAUACCCGCUGAACUUAAGCAUAUCAAUAAGCGGAGGAAAAGAAACCAACCGGGAUUGCCUCAGUAACGGCGAGUGAAGCGGCAACAGCUCAAAUUUGAAAUCUGACUCCUUGUGGGGUUCGAGUUGUAAUUUGCAGAGGGUGUUUCGGGCGCGGUGCCGGUCUAAGUCCCUUGGAACAGGGCGUCAUAGAGGGUGAGAAUCCCGUCUGCGACUCGGCCGCCAACCCUAUGUGAAACCCCUUCGACGAGUCGAGUUGUUUGGGAAUGCAGCUCAAAAUGGGUGGUAAAUUUCAUCUAAAGCUAAAUACCGGCCAGAGACCGAUAGCGCACAAGUAGAGUGAUCGAAAGAUGAAAAGCACUUUGGAAAGAGAGUUAAACAGUACGUGAAAUUGUUGAAAGGGAAGCGCUUGCGACCAGACCUGUUCCCGGGCGAUCAUCCGUCAUUCGUGGCGGUGCACUCGCCCGGACACAGGCCAGCAUCGGUUGGGGCGGCGGGACAAAGCGCCUGGGAAUGUAGCUUCUCUCGGGGAGCCUUAUAGCCCGGGUGGCCAUGCCGCCCGCCUCGACCGAGGACCGCGCUUUGGCUAGGAUGCUGGCGUAAUGGUCGUAAGCGACC